GUGGGGAAUCUUAGACAAUGGGGGAAACCCUGAUCUAGCCAUGCCGCGUGAGCGAUGAAGGCCUUAGGGUUGUAAAGCUCUUUCAGCUGGGAAGAUAAUGACGGUACCAGCAGAAGAAGCCCCGGCUAACUCCGUGCCAGCAGCCGCGGUAAUACGGAGGGGGCUAGCGUUGUUCGGAAUUACUGGGCGUAAAGCGCGCGUAGGCGGACCAGAAAGUUGGAGGUGAAAUCCCAGGGCUCAACCUUGGAACUGCCUUCAAAACUCCUGGUCUGGAGUUCGAGAGAGGUGAGUGGAAUUCCGAGUGUAGAGGUGAAAUUCGUAGAUAUUCGGAGGAACACCAGUGGCGAAGGCGGCUCACUGGCUCGAUACUGACGCUGAGGUGCGAAAGCGUGGGUAGCAAACAGGAUUAGAAACCCGUGUAGUCC
RNAcentral lists this ribosomal RNA (425 nucleotides) under uncultured bacterium. Its description in RNAcentral is "partial 16S ribosomal RNA". It matches the Rfam family "Bacterial small subunit ribosomal RNA", at positions 354 to 796 of the family's 1533-position model. The record is from RNAcentral.